UUGCAGUGACGAAUAUUUGCGCCAAAUGUGAUGGUUGGGUCCAUUGCACCUUCUUCUUAUUCAUGAGAAGAUAUCGGUGCAUCUGAGCAA
Molecule: small nucleolar RNA, 90 nt
Organism: Salvia splendens (bonfire salvia)
Lineage: Eukaryota; Viridiplantae; Streptophyta; Magnoliopsida; Lamiales; Lamiaceae
Product: small nucleolar RNA snoR114
Exons: 1
Source: RefSeq, a predicted model, not a curated record